CACGACAUGGGUGGAGUGGAAAGA
RNAcentral lists this non-coding RNA (24 nucleotides) under Arabidopsis thaliana (thale cress). Lineage: Eukaryota; Viridiplantae; Streptophyta; Magnoliopsida; Brassicales; Brassicaceae. The record is from RNAcentral.